RNAcentral lists this ribosomal RNA (501 nucleotides) under Triticum aestivum (bread wheat). Its description in RNAcentral is "partial small subunit ribosomal RNA". The record is from RNAcentral. Lineage: Eukaryota; Viridiplantae; Streptophyta; Magnoliopsida; Poales; Poaceae.
AUGUGUGUACCAAAAAACCAAGGAGCCAUGGGCUUUCGAGAUAUACAUUGUUUCAAUUUGGCUUUGUUAGCCAAACAAGCAUGGCGUCUUAUUGAUAAACCGGAGUCUUUAUGUGCCACUAUUUUGAGAACUAAGUAUUUCCCUGAUGGCGACUUGAUGAGUGCAAGUUUAAAGAAGGGUUCGUCCUUUACUUGGCAAAGCAUUAUGGCGGGAGUUAACUCACUGAAAAAUGGUUAUAUUUGGCUAGUUGGAAAUGGUCAAAAAAAUGAUAUUUGGAGAGAUGCAUGGAUUCCUCACAGUACGGAUAGGAAAAUUAUUACCCCUAGAAGAGGGCAACUUUUGUCAAAGGUAGCUGGUCUCAUUGAUCCAGUUAUGAAUUGUUGGGACGAAGACUUGGUGAGACAAACUUUGUGGCCGAUUGAUGCUCAAAGAGUCCUCGCCAUUCCCCUUCCUAUGCAUACCAUGGAAGACUUCAUUGCGUGGAGUUUUACGAGAAAUGGU